AGGGCCCCAAAUAUGCAGGAGGAUGUGGAGGAAGCUCCCAGUGAGAAAUUACUUGCAAGGAAUUAAAAUUCCACCUGAGGUCUUACCUGUAAGAGCCUGUCAUAGGGCUUUAAGCCACCAAGAUCUCCUGGCCCAGCUGGGCGAAUAUUUUUGACAUACACUCCUUUCUCCAGUAAGCCAUCUGCUACACUGAACCCAAAGUCCUCCAUGUCAGAGUCCUUGUACAAGGUCACCUGAAGAGAGAGAAAAUGAGAUGUGAAUAUUUAGCUGGGGUGGAGACUUUUCCUUCUGCAACUUCUUGAUAAACAAUCUUUUCACACGAAUUUAGUCACAUCAUGAUUUGCAAUAUCAGCAUCAGUCAGCUCCCUGCACCAAUCCUGCAGCUUUUUUUUUCCCACUCCAAGAAUAUCUUUGGACUUUAUGAAUUCCCAACCAAAGCUGAAAAAGGAGGAGAACUGGAACGUCUGGGUCCUCCCUCCCUCCUUUGCAGUCGUCAUCAGGGGGAUAUAGGAGAGAACUUCCUCAAGGCAAGUUGACUUCUACUAUUUUCCUGGGGCAACCCCUGGUCAGAGGAGCUGCCCGCAGCAGCCCUUUACAACUGCUGAGAUGUUGGGGAAUAAGCCAAAGGCCUUUCCUUCCUCCCCACUCCUGCCUGGUGCUCUGCUAAGCACAGUGCUCGGCGUAUCCUCUCUUUGGGCAAGUACCAUGAAGUUCAUCCUUUUAUUUGCUCUGGAACCCCCAAUGAGCACCAUCACGGAACACUAUGUAAAAGACCUGAAUGUGUUUCUAUGACAACACCUUGCUCCGCACCUCGGCUUAACUCGCUCCCUCAGCAUUUGUCUAGGGUUUGAUUUGGUAACUGAAGGCAUCUACCCUGAGUGCUGCGGCCUGCCCCCCACCCCGGGUCUCUCUGCAUCUAAGGCCAACCACAGCUGGCUAAAGCCUCACUCCCCCACCAGCCCUCACUCCUUCACCUGACCACCUGCGAGUGUUCAUCUGAGGCUAAAAUAAUCAUUUGUAUAUUCAUCAAAUAUUUACUGAGUUCCUACCAUAUUGUAAGCACAGCAUGGGGUGCUAGAAACAGCAGUGAACAAGAGGAAGAAAAGCCUGCCUUCCAGAGGCACACACAUGAAUAUGUAGCAGUCCCCAAGCUUUCACCGCACUGGGCACUGCGCCCAGCAGCACACUCAGCGCUUGAUGCUCAGUUAACGUUUGAGGGGGCCACGGGUUUUACCAAGUUGUGCCAGAUGCCCUCCACAAAGACUUCAAGCAAUGAAAUUGCUGAUGCCUGAUAUUACAAAGAGGCUGGGACAAGGAAAGAGCUCUGUACCCCAUCUGAGAGAGAGGAAGAGACAUGCCCUGGGCUAGAGUGUUACCAAUUUAAUCUUUUUUUUUUUUUUUUUUAAUGAGACGGAGUUUCACUCUUGUUGCCCAAACUGGAGUGCAGUGGUGUGAUCUCAGCUCACCACAAUGUCCGCCUCCUGGGUUCAAGUGAUUCUCCUGCCUCUGCUUCCUGAGUAGCUGGGAUUACGGGCCUGCACCACCAUGCCUGGUUAAUUUUGUAUUUUUAGUAGAGAUGGGGUUUCUCCAUGUUGGUCAGGCUGGUCUCCAACUCCUAACCUCAAAUGAUCCACCCACCUUGGCCUCCCAAAAUGCUGGGAUUACAGGCGCGAGUCACCGCGCCCAGCCUUCAAUUUAAUCUUUACUAUAGCCUUGCCUGACAAGUCAUAUGGCAGAACAACAGUGGAGGAGGAGGACGAUAGGACUGUUCUCCAAGAAUCUGGACAUGAGGGAAAUGGAGUGACCUUCAGAAAGUACACCAUUUUGUCAGGGAUGACAACUGGCUUUUCAGCUUCAGGAAUGAAUAUGGACAACUUGAAGGAAGGCUUGCCAAGAUCCCAGUGGAGCCUCAGAUGCAGCAGAUGAUGAGAAGGUUACUGACUUCCUACCCACAUCUGAAGGCAGGGUGUUGCUCCGAGUUGUUUGGCUGUAGUGCGGCCGCGAGCUGCUGCGCUCCUGGAAGCUGGCCUGUCGCCCCAGCUGACUGCGAGGUGUUGGAGCCUCAUGAUUCAAACUCAUCGUGCUCCCCGACAUGAUUGUUGCCUGUGGCAUUGACAAUUUUUAGAAACAAUUAAGCCAUGGACUAAGGAAAGGGUUUGGUGCUCAACAGUAAGCACAUUUCUCCUUCUGCGAGGUAAAAAUACAGUCUCUUCAGGGCAAAACCAAAGGCUGGAAAAUGGAUGUACUAAUUGAACUAUGAAAGUCUGGAAAAUGCUUUGCAAGUGACAUUUAUAAUGCACAUCUCAAAUCCAAUUUAAGUACUUAAGCCAUUGAGUUUAUUUAAUCAAAUACCACCCCUGGCAGUUUUGAGGCAAAUUGAAAUGCUCUAACAUUUGCUUACUGUAAACUACAUUUUAAGCAUUCACUUUCCACUGAGUGGGCUCUAACAGAUGGGAUUCAUGAGGCCACCUUGAAUAUAUCUUACAGAAACGAAUUAAGAACUUCUCAAUGGACACCAGGCUGCCUGUACUUGCAAUGCUGCCUCUAUCUCCAACUGCAGUUAACAAUGGGCUGGAAAGCGAUGACUGAUAUAAAGAUAACUGCAGAAGUGUGGUUAGCCAUCUGGGAAGAAGUCUUAUGAAUGCAGUUUUCUGUCAAAAGUGUUGACUUAAGGAAACACAGAUGUGUCUUCUCUUGAAGGGGAACUAAGUAGCUGUGAAUUUCAUCCUGGCUCCCUCUGAUGGACUAACCAUUUUCCCCUUCUGAACCAAUCAAACCAACCCCAAAUACAUGAAGUCUCAGCUUUUAUAAUACAAAGAGUUUGGGGAAGCCUGUACCUCACUUUCUUUAACUGGUUUCAACCCUCAACCUUUCAAAGAGCCAAUACUAAUUGGUGGUGUCUUCCUGGAGUAUCCUUUUCUGAUAAACAUUAACUCCAAUGACCACUGAGUUCCCUGGUGAAAUUUCAACAUUUUAGACUGAUUUUCUUUCCAACUGUUGUAUGUACAAUAAGUAGUUCUUGGAGACUUAGGCAAGAGUGCAAGAAUGGGCUUGAGCAGAUGUGCACCACCAUCAGUAGGAAACUGCUAACCUUGAAAGGCAUGUGUAUCUCUAAUAAGGAUGCCUUGUCUUAAUAAGCACUAUUAAAUGAUUAUUGCAUUACAACAAAGCAGAGAAAGAAAAGGGGAUAAGAUUCAAAUCUCUGGGUGAAAUGUAAAGUCAGAAAACCUGACCCCAGCUCUUCUCUAGUCUGUGCUAUGCUGACCCAGAGAUUAAAGUAAGAAAAGUUGACCAGGUGCGGUGGCUCACGCCUAGCACUUUGGGAAGCCAAGACAGGCAGAUCGCUUGAGCUUAGGAGUUUGAGACCAGCCUGGGCAAUAAUCCAUCUCUACAAAGAAAAAAAGACAAAUCCCAAACCCCCCAAAAUUAGCUGGGCAUGGUGGCGCGUGCCAGCUACUUGGGGGGCUGAGGCAAGAAGAUUGCUUAAGUCUGGUUGUUGAGGCUGCAGUGAGCCAAGUUUGCACCACUGCACUCCAGUCUGGGUGACAAAGUGAGAUCCUAUCUCCAAAAAAGAAAAGUAAAUGGGCAUGGUUAUGCAUACCUGUAUACCAGCUACUUGAGAGGCUGAGAUAAGAGGAUCCCUUGAGCCCAGGGGUUCGAGACCAGUCUGAGCAACAUAAAAAGACCCUGUCUC
Pan troglodytes (chimpanzee) is the source of this 3694-nucleotide long non-coding RNA. RefSeq lists it as uncharacterized. Lineage: Eukaryota; Metazoa; Chordata; Mammalia; Primates; Hominidae. The record is from RefSeq and is a predicted model, not a curated record. The transcript has 5 exons.